AAAACAGUCCACUUUGUGGCCUGUUAUCGGAAUGGGUACAAUUUAAAUCUUUUAACGAGGAUCUAUUAGAGGGCAAGUCUGGUGCCAGCAGCCGCGGUAAUUCCAGCUCUAAUAGCGUAUAUUAAAGUUGUUGUGGUUAAAACGCCCGUAGUUGGUUUUUCGGUCUCGAAGCUCGGUAGCUCGUAUGGGCUUAACUGAGUCUUCCGGCCUAAAUUUCUUGUACUCUCCCGAUGCUCUUUAUUGAGUGUCUCGAGAUGCUAGAACGUUUACUUUGAAAAAAUUAGAGUGCUAAAAGCAGGCUAUACGCUUGAAUAAAGUGCAUGGAAUAAUGGAAUAGGACUUUAGUUUUAUUUUGUUGGUUUUCGAAAUUAAAGUAAUGAUUAAGAGGAACAGACGGGGGCAUUCGUAUUGUUGCGUUAGAGGUGAAAUUCUUGGAUCGCAGCAAGACGAACAACUGCGAAAGCAUUUGCCAAGAAUGUUUUCAUUAAUCAAGGACGAUAGUUAGAGGUUCGAAGGCGAUCAGAUACCGCCCUAGUUCUAACCGUAAACUAUGCCAACUAGCGAUCCGUCGGUGUUAAAUAUUGACUCGACGGGCAGCUUCCGGGAAACCAAAGUUUAUAGGUUCCGGGGGAAGUAUGGUUGCAAAGCUUAAACUUAAAGGAAUUGACGGAAGGGCACCACCAGGAGUGGAGCCUGCGGCUUAAUUUGACCCAACACGGGGAAACUCACCCGGCCAGGACACAAUAAGGAUUGACAGAUUGAUAGCUCUUUCUUGAUUUUGUGGGUGGUGGUGCAUGGCCGUUCUUAGUUGGUGGAGCGAUUUGUCUGGUUAAUUCCGAUAACGAACGAGACUCUAGCCUAUUAAAUAGACGAUAUAUCUUAUUAGUAUAUCGAGCUUCUUAGAGGGACGAGCAGCUUCUAGCUGCACGAGAUUGAGCAAUAACAGGUCUGUGAUGCCCUUAGAUGUCCGGGGCUGCACGCGCGCUACAAUGAAAAUAGCAGCGCGUUUCGAAAACCUUUUCUGGAAAGUAUUGGUAAACGCGAAAUAUUUUCGUGAUUGGGAUAGGGGAUUGCAAUUAUUGCCCUUGAACGAGGAAUUCCCAGUAAAUUCGAGUCAUCAGCUCGAGUUGAUUACGUCCCUGCCCUUUGUACACACCGCCCGUCGCUACUACCGAUUGGAACAUUGCGUGAGAUCUUCGGACUGACGUCGAAACGAACGUAAAAAUUCGAUUCGCGCGUUGGAAAGAUGCUCGAAUGCAACGUUCUAGAGGAAGUAAAAGU
Molecule: ribosomal RNA, 1281 nt
Filed under: metagenome
Description: SSU rRNA
Rfam family: Eukaryotic small subunit ribosomal RNA
Source: RNAcentral